CCUACGGGUGGCAGCAGUCGAGAAUCAUUCACAAUGGGGGAAACCCUGAUGGUGCGACGCCGCGUGGGGGAAUGAAGGUCUUCGGAUUGUAAACCCCUGUCAUGUGGGAGCAAAUUAAAAAGAUAGUACCACAAGAGGAAGAGACGGCUAACUCUGUGCCAGCAGCCCCGGUCAUACAGAGGUCUCAAGCGUUGUUCGGAAUCACUGGGCGUAAAGCGUGCGUAGGCUGUUUCGUAAGUCGUGUGUGAAAGGCGCGGGCUCAACCCGCGGACGGAACAUGAUACUGCGAGACUAGAGUAAUGGAGGGGGAACCGGAAUUCUCGGUGUAGCAGUGAAAUGCGUAGAUAUCGAGAGGAACACUCGUGGCGAAGGCGGGUUCCUGGACAUUAACUGACGCUGAGGCACGAAGGCCAGGGGAGCGAAAGGGAUUAGAUACCCGAGUAGUC
RNAcentral lists this ribosomal RNA (446 nucleotides) under uncultured bacterium. RNAcentral describes it as "partial 16S ribosomal RNA". It matches the Rfam family "Bacterial small subunit ribosomal RNA", at positions 338 to 795 of the family's 1533-position model. The record is from RNAcentral.